Molecule: ribosomal RNA, 468 nt
Filed under: uncultured bacterium
Lineage: Bacteria
Description: partial 16S ribosomal RNA
Rfam family: Bacterial small subunit ribosomal RNA (bases 53-468)
Source: RNAcentral
GGGGGGGGGGGGCGGCGGGGGGGGGGCGGGCGGGGGGGGGGGGGGGGGCCUGCGGUUGUGGGGUGCUCGGGUGGCGAACGGGGGCGUAACCCGGGAGUAACCUGCCCGUGACUUUGGGAUAGCUUCCGGAACCUGGGCCUAAUCCCCGAUAGCAGCUCCUGCUGCCUGGUUGGGGUUGGAAAGUUUCGUCUGCUGGGGUUGGACUCGCGGCUUAUCAGCUUGUUGGUGGGGUAGUGGCAUACCAAGGCUUUCACGGGUAGCCGGCCUGAGAGGGUGACCGGCCACAUUGGGACUGAGAUGCGGCCCUGACUGGUACGGGAGCCAGCAGUGGGGAAUAUUGUACGAUGGGCGGAAGCCUGAUGCAGCAACGCCGCGUGCGGGAGGACGGCCUUUGGGUUGUAAGCCGCGUUCGCCUGUGACGAAGCGCGAGUGACGGUAAUGGGUCAAGAAGCACCGGCUAACUACGUG